CUUAGGCGUGUGACUGCGUACCUUUUGUAUAAUGGGUCAGCGACUUAUAUUCUGUAGCAAGGUUAACCGAAUAGGGGAGCCGAAGGGAAACCGAGUCUUAACUGGGCGUUAAGUUGCAGGGUAUAGACCCGAAACCCGGUGAUCUAGCCAUGGGCAGGUUGAAGGUUGGGUAACACUAACUGGAGGACCGAACCGACUAAUGUUGAAAAAUUAGCGGAUGACUUGUGGCUGGGGGUGAAAGGCCAAUCAAACCGGGAGAUAGCUGGUUCUCCCCGAAAGCUAUUUAGGUAGCGCCUCGUGAAUUCAUCUCCGGGGGUAGAGCACUGUUUCGGCAAGGGGGUCAUCCCGACUUACCAACCCGAUGCAAACUGCGAAUACCGGAGAAUGUUAUCACGGGAGACACACGGCGGGUGCUAACGUCCGUCGUGAAGAGGGAAACAACCCAGACCGCCAGCUAAGGUCCCAAAGUCAUGGUUAAGUGGGAAACGAUGUGGGAAGGCCCAGACAGCCAGGAUGUUGGCUUAGAAGCAGCCAUCAUUUAAAGAAAGCGUAAUAGCUCACUGGUCGAGUCGGCCUGCGCGGAAGAUGUAACGGGGCUAAACCAUGCACCGAAGCUGCGGCAGCGACGCUGAUGCGUUGUUGGGUAGGGGAGCGUUCUGUAAGCCUGCGAAGGUGUGCUGUGAGGCAUGCUGGAGGUAUCAGAAGUGCGAAUGCUGACAUAAGUAACGAUAAAGCGGGUGAAAAGCCCGCUCGCCGGAAGACCAAGGGUUCCUGUCCAACGUUAAUCGGGGCAGGGUGAGUCGACCCCUAAGGCGAGGCCGAAAGGCGUAGUCGAUGGGAAACAGGUUAAUAUUCCUGUACUUGGUGUUACUGCGAAGGGGGGACGGAGAAGGCUAUGUUGGCCGGGCGACGGUUGUCCCGGUUUAAGCGUGUAGGCUGGUUUUCCAGGCAAAUCCGGAAAAUCAAGGCUGAGGCGUGAUGACGAGGCACUACGGUGCUGAAGCAACAAAUGCCCUGCUUCCAGGAAAAGCCUCUAAGCAUCAGGUAACAUCAAAUCGUACCCCAAACCGACACAGGUGGUCAGGUAGAGAAUACCAAGGCGCUUGAGAGAACUCGGGUGAAGGAACUAGGCAAAAUGGUGCCGUAACUUCGGGAGAAGGCACGCUGAUAUGUAGGUGAAGUCCCUCGCGGAUGGAGCUGAAAUCAGUCGAAGAUACCAGCUGGCUGCAACUGUUUAUUAAAAACACAGCACUGUGCAAACACGAAAGUGGACGUAUACGGUGUGACGCCUGCCCGGUGCCGGAAGGUUAAUUGAUGGGGUUAGCGCAAGCGAAGCUCUUGAUCGAAGCCCCGGUAAACGGCGGCCGUAACUAUAACGGUCCUAAGGUAGCGAAAUUCCUUGUCGGGUAAGUUCCGACCUGCACGAAUGGCGUAAUGAUGGCCAGGCUGUCUCCACCCGAGACUCAGUGAAAUUGAACUCGCUGUGAAGAUGCAGUGUACCCGCGGCAAGACGGAAAGACCCCGUGAACCUUUACUAUAGCUUGACACUGAACAUUGAGCCUUGAUGUGUAGGAUAGGUGGGAGGCUUUGAAGUGUGGACGCCAGUCUGCAUGGAGCCGACCUUGAAAUACCACCCUUUAAUGUUUGAUGUUCUAACGUUGACCCGUAAUCCGGGUUGCGGACAGUGUCUGGUGGGUAGUUUGACUGGGGCGGUCUCCUCCUAAAGAGUAACGGAGGAGCACGAAGGUUGGCUAAUCCUGGUCGGACAUCAGGAGGUUAGUGCAAUGGCAUAAGCCAGCUUGACUGCGAGCGUGACGGCGCGAGCAGGUGCGAAAGCAGGUCAUAGUGAUCCGGUGGUUCUGAAUGGAAGGGCCAUCGCUCAACGGAUAAAAGGUACUCCGGGGAUAACAGGCUGAUACCGCCCAAGAGUUCAUAUCGACGGCGGUGUUUGGCACCUCGAUGUCGGCUCAUCACAUCCUGGGGCUGAAGUAGGUCCCAAGGGUAUGGCUGUUCGCCAUUUAAAGUGGUACGCGAGCUGGGUUUAGAACGUCGUGAGACAGUUCGGUCCCUAUCUGCCGUGGGCGCUGGAGAACUGAGGGGGGCUGCUCCUAGUACGAGAGGACCGGAGUGGACGCAUCACUGGUGUUCGGGUUGUCAUGCCAAUGGCACUGCCCGGUAGCUAAAUGCGGAAGAGAUAAGUGCUGAAAGCAUCUAAGCACGAAACUUGCCCCGAGAUGAGUUCUCCCUGACUCCUUGAGAGUCCUGAAGGAACGUUGAAGACGACGACGUUGAUAGGCCGGGUGUGUAAGCGCAGCGAUGCGUUGAGCUAACCGGUACUAAUGAACCGUGAGG
RNAcentral lists this ribosomal RNA (2352 nucleotides) under Escherichia coli. RNAcentral's name for it is "partial 23S ribosomal RNA". It matches the Rfam family "Bacterial large subunit ribosomal RNA", at positions 584 to 2915 of the family's 2925-position model. Lineage: Bacteria; Pseudomonadati; Pseudomonadota; Gammaproteobacteria; Enterobacterales; Enterobacteriaceae. The record is from RNAcentral.